Molecule: ribosomal RNA, 250 nt
Filed under: uncultured bacterium
Lineage: Bacteria
Description: partial 16S ribosomal RNA
Rfam family: Bacterial small subunit ribosomal RNA
Source: RNAcentral
GAUCCUGGCUCAGAUUGAACGCUGGCGGCAGGCCUAACACAUGCAAGUCGAACGGUAACAGGAAACAGCUUGCUGUUUCGCUGACGAGUGGCGGACGGGUGAGUAAUGUCUGGGAAACUGCCUGAUGGAGGGGGAUAACUACUGGAAACGGUAGCUAAUACCGCAUAAUGUCGCAAGACCAAAGAGGGGGGACCCUUCGGGCCGUCUUGCCAUCGGAUGUGCCCAGAUGGGAUUAGCUAGUAGGUAGGGG